RNAcentral lists this long non-coding RNA (1104 nucleotides) under Medicago truncatula (barrel medic). RNAcentral's name for it is "long non-coding RNA (MTRU_LNC001332)". Lineage: Eukaryota; Viridiplantae; Streptophyta; Magnoliopsida; Fabales; Fabaceae. The record is from RNAcentral.
UUGAACCAAGGCGUAAUAUUUCGGCAUAUAAAAAUGAUGGCAGUAAGCAAGAUGUCAAAGACUUUGAACCAAGGUCCAACAUUUCAGCUUAUGGAGACAAUGACAUUGAUGUAAAAGAAAAGAAUGGAGCCAUUAAAGAUUUUGAACCUAGACCUAAUAUUUCAGCUUAUGGAGAAAAUGUCAUUGAUGCUGAUGAAAAGAAGAAACCAGUCAAAGAUUUUGAACCAAGACCCAAUAUUUCAGCUUAUGGAGACAAUGACAUUGAUGUUAAGGAAAAUAAGGGAGCCACCAACGAUUUUGAGCCAAGACCCAACAUUUCAGCUUAUGGAGACAAUGUCAUUGAUGAUAAUAAAAUGAAGAAACCAGUUGAAUAUUUCCAACCAAGACCAAACAUUUCAGCUUAUGGAGAAAAUGACAUUGAUGUUAAAAAAAGUAAAGAUUUUGAACCAAGACCCAACAUUUCAGCUUUUGGAGACAAUGACAUUGAUGUUAAUGAAAAGAAGGGAGAUACUAAAGAUUUCGAACCAAGACCAAAUAUUUCAGCUUAUGGAGACAAUGCCAUUGAUGAUGAUGAAAUGAAGAAACCAAUUAAAGAUUUUAAACCAAAACCAAACAUUUCGGCUUAUGGAGACAAUGUCAUUGAUGCUGAUGAAAUGAAGAAACCAGUCGAAGGUUUUGAACCAAGACCAAACAUUUCAACUUAUGGAGACAAUGUCAUUGAUGUUGAUGAAAUGAAGAAACAACAAGUCAAAGAUUUUGAACCAAGAACCAACAUUUCAGCUUAUGGAGACAAUGACAUUGAUGUUAAAGAAAAGAAGGGAGUCACCAACGAUUUUGAGCCAAGACCCAACAUUUCAGCUUAUGGAGACAAUGUCAUUGAUGCUAAUAAAAUGAAGAAACCAGUUGACGAUUUCCAACCAAGACCAACUAUUUCAGCUUAUGGAGACAAUGCCAUUGAUAAUAGUAAAACGAAUGAAGUCAUCAAAGAUUUUGAAUCAAGACCCAACAUUUCAGCUUACGGUAACAAUGAAGUUGACACUAAGAAAAAAGAAAAAGCUGCCAAAGAUUUUGAACAAAGACCCAUUAUUUCAGCUUAGGAAGACA